This 1196-nucleotide long non-coding RNA is filed under the name Penaeus japonicus. RNAcentral describes it as "uncharacterized LOC122260565". The record is from RNAcentral. Lineage: Eukaryota; Metazoa; Arthropoda; Malacostraca; Decapoda; Penaeidae.
AAAAAAAAAAAAAAAAAAAAAAAAAAAAAUCACAAGCAGCUGGGGAUAGAGUUUACUUAGCUGUGGCUACAGAGAUGUUUCCUUGUCAUUUCAUGUUAAGGCUUCUCUCCUUACCCAUUAAAUGACAAUCGUGCACACCGACUCUCAGUCUCGGGUGCUCUACGCAAAGCAACUACUUUUUUAUCUUAGCAUAAGGAAAUUCAAAACGACACGAAGAUGGAUGGAAGUAAAAAAAAAAUACAAAUAAAGAUUCAAUUUUCGUUGCAGCCCCUAGAAUGUGCACAUCAUGUGAGACUCAUAAAUUAGAAGUGAUAAUGGUGCCAAGUUUCCACAUCAUCAUCGAGACCCUGGCGAGACUUCAUUCCAAGAGGCAGAGUGUGGAGAGAGACCGUGAGGGAAAGAGGCCGAGAUCCUGAGCACAAGAAGGAGGAACAGCUGCGAAGAACCGGCGUCUUAAGAUCGUAGUUUUUUUUUGUUUUUUUUUUUUUUUUUUCUCCCUUCCAUCUCUUCGUUCACUCGCAUUCUGUGUAUAUACUUUCCAUGUAUGGUCUUCGCACAUAUUUUCCUUGUUUUGAAGGAAAAAAGAAAAAAAAAAAAAGGCGUCACUGGACCCUCCAGAUGACCAAAGCUGAUCAGUAUUUACGGAGACUUCCGCACGUACGUCUUCAAACUUAUUGCAAGUGGAUUUCGAACAUGUGCAUGCCCGUGGGAUUAAUUUGCAUCGUGUGCAAGUCCCCACGGCAAAGGUCCAUUAUUUCCCAACCAAAACCAACGCGAAAGCAAGAUGGUCCACAGCGGCGCUUCCCUCUCGAAACGGUCGGAGCUUCGGAGACGGCGAGAGCCAUUGUACUCUAGCCUGGCUUGAACUUUGUCAGUGUUCUGUAAUUUUCUAAAGACAGUAGAGGGUUUCAUCACAUCACUAUUAGAUUUUUCAUGUUAGUCAUCGAUGUCUCAUACGAAAGAUUUUGACGAAAGAAUAUUACGAAACGAAGAAAAAAGACUCGUUUGCUCAUCCAUUUUGAUAUAACCUAUAAAGUACUGCGCAUACUUGGCCGCGUGAGACUUUGGCAGGGAUCAUGUUUAUAAAAAAAAAAAGACGAGGUGAAGCAUCUUUAUCAUGAAACAUACACAAAUUAUAACCAAUCGAACAAUAGAUUACUAAUUUGACUUUAAUUAAAACAUUUAGAGGAAAAAAA